This 465-nucleotide ribosomal RNA is filed under the name Vreelandella stevensii. Its description in RNAcentral is "partial 16S ribosomal RNA". It matches the Rfam family "Bacterial small subunit ribosomal RNA", at positions 338 to 795 of the family's 1533-position model. The record is from RNAcentral. Lineage: Bacteria; Pseudomonadati; Pseudomonadota; Gammaproteobacteria; Oceanospirillales; Halomonadaceae.
CCUACGGGCUGCAGCAGUGGGGAAUAUUGGACAAUGGGCGAAAGCCUGAUCCAGCCAUGCCGCGUGUGUGAAGAAGGCCUUCGGGUUGUAAAGCACUUUCAGUGGGGAAGAAAGCCUUGGGGCUAAUACCCUCGAGGAAGGACAUCACCCACAGAAGAAGCACCGGCUAACUCCGUGCCAGCAGCCGCGGUAAUACGGAGGGUGCGAGCGUUAAUCGGAAUUACUGGGCGUAAAGCGCGCGUAGGCGGUCUGAUAAGCCGGUUGUGAAAGCCCCGGGCUCAACCUGGGAACGGCAUCCGGAACUGUCAGGCUAGAGAGCAGGAGAGGAAGGUAGAAUUCCCGGUGUAGCGGUGAAAUGCGUAGAGAUCGGGAGGAAUACCAGUGGCGAAGGCGGCCUUCUGGACUGACACUGACGCUGAGGUGCGAAAGCGUGGGUAGCAAACAGGAUUAGAUACCCUGGUAGUC